This 440-nucleotide ribosomal RNA is filed under the name uncultured bacterium. Its description in RNAcentral is "partial 16S ribosomal RNA". It matches the Rfam family "Bacterial small subunit ribosomal RNA", at positions 338 to 795 of the family's 1533-position model. The record is from RNAcentral.
CCUACGGGUGGCAGCAGUGAGGGAUAUUGGUCAAUGGGGGAAACCCUGAACCAGCAACGCCGCGUGAGGGCAGACGGUUUUCGGAUUGUAAACCUCUGUCCUCUGUGAAGAUAAUGACGGUAGCAGAGGAGGAAGCUCCGGCUAACUACGUGCCAGCAGCCGCGGUAAUACGUAGGGGGCAAGCGUUGUCCGGAUUUACUGGGUGUAAAGGGCGUGUAGCCGGGAAAGCAAGUCAGAUGUGAAAUCCGGAGGCUCAACCUCCGAAUUGCAUUUGAAACUGUUUUGCUGGAGUACUGGAGAGGCAGACGGAAUUCCUUGUGUAGCGGUGAAAUGCGUAGAUAUAAGGAGGAACACCAGUGGCGAAGGCGGUCUGCUGGACAGCAACUGACGGUGAGGCGCGAAAGCGUGGGGAGCAAACAGGAUUAGAUACCCCUGUAGUC